GUAGUCAGUGCAUUAUUAAUAUUCUGCAGAAUGGCUAUGAUUUUGAGUACUGUAUUGGUUUAAGGGUAAAGGCCACCCAGGGGGGUGGACUUCUAUUCAUUUGUUGUUCCCUAAUGGUACAAUUUUUCUAACCUGCCAACGCAACAUUCCUAUCCAAACUCAAAAACUUAGAUGGAUGUCAAAUUUUUAAGUGAAUGCCCCAUCCAAACAAUGCUUCCAAUGUUUUCAUAAAACUCUCUUUGGUCAUAGCUAAUUAGCAACUUAACAUUUUACCGUCAGUCACGUGUUACAGUAUACUAGGAAACAAGGUUAGGAAUACCCUAUAAACCCAACUCGUAACACAUCACUAAGCCUAAUAAUCUAAGAUGACUAAAAUGGUCAGAUUUUAUUUUUCACCUUCUGAUAUUUAGGUGCACUUUUGGAGAAAUUGACGCUUGUCACCAAAUAAGAUUGUGGUAGCAGCUUUGGAAGUUUGUGCGGCUGGUUGUACCUCCAUAAGCACCCAAGCAGCUGCAUACGCAAGCUACAAUAUAUAAACAGAAUUAGAAACCAGCUAGUACUGCAAGGCUUUUUAUGGCUACACAAAUUAGAAGAAAAAUUGGUCUAGAACUCAGAACGAAUUAAAUUGAAGCUUCCUUUGUUCAGCACUCACUAGAAGUUCAGUGUUGCAUUUUCUGAAAUUUAUUUCCUCUGGUCUGCAUUGGCAUCAUUCAAGUUAUUCAUCUCUUAACUCCUCAUUGCUGUCAACCAAAGAGACCUACAUCCACUGCUAACAAAGCCAGCCAAAGGGGUAUGCAUUCACUGUUUAUGCCAGUUGUGAUAUGGUUGCUUCCCCCAUUUCUUCAGACUAUGCAUGCAACCAGCUGCUAGCAAUAAACCAAGCACAGCAAAUGCCAUUAAUGUUGCAUUACUAACAUUCCGGUAAUAGCCACCCUGCAACAACAUUUAGGAAGUUAAUAUGUUUACAACAGCACACAAACCAACUAAACCAAAAGAAACACACAACUAAAAAAAUUGAAAAUUAUUUUUAGACAGAAGUUAAAGCGUCUAGUAUAUAAAAUUGCAAAAAAAACAUGCAAAAUUAUAUUGCAUAUUAUAUUCCUAGAAUUUAACCCUUCCCUUAGAGUCACAUGAGCCAGCGAUGUCACCCUAUAUAGCUAACCAACUAUAGGGACAAGUUGAGGUCAUCAACAAGUUAUCACAUAAUCAAAAAGUUGGUCUAUUUUCAAAGUGCCAGCCAGCUUGAAUGAUCAUUUCAUAGACGAAAGUCAUGUUUGAGACUAGCUGGAAGGCCCAAUAAGAGUAAAACCAGCACUUGUUUCUGCUGCUUUAAGAAAGACCGUGGAGGGAUAGGAAGAAACAAGAGCAGGGCCACUCUUGAAUAUCAACUUCUCAUGCCACCCUCCACGAUUAUGGCAUUCUAACUUAAAACCUCAAAAUAUUUAUCUUUCAUCUAGGGUGAACCUCGACGUAAUGGCAAAGUUGUUGCUUAAUAACCAAGAAGUCACGAGUUCAAAUCCUCGAAAACAACUUCUCUGCUUGUGGCCACAGGAGUAAGGAUACGUAUAUCUACUCUCCUCACACCCCACUAGGUGGGAACCUCGUGCACUGGGCAUCCCUUUUAUGGUUCAGAUCAACUCAUGUUAAUAUUGUUUAACUGGUUAGUUGGUUAAUUAUAUGCUUCCUACAAUUUCAGAUAACUUAAUGAACAAAUACACACUUGCACCACAGAAAGCAGAACUGCUGCAUUUGCCGGGGCCAAAGAAAGCCCCAUCAUCCCUCCACGCAACUCAUUAGGCACAUACCUGCAGACAAUGUAAUUAGAACUAUCAAAUCAUUUGUUAAGAAAAUGAACAACUACAAAUCCUGUUAAUGAGUUUACAUGGUCCUCAAUCUGGCAAGUGAUGGUAUAAUGAACCCGACACAAGCAUGAAACAAGCAAAAUAGUGUCACCAGAACUCCAAUUUCCUGUAUGUGAUAAAUUAUCAAAGCAGACUCUAGGUUUCAAGCUUGAUAAUAUGACAAAGUAUAUUUCACUAUUUGAGACUUUUUAAAGAUGAAAGAUAAGUGAACCUGAUAGUCAUAGGCCACAAUAGAGAGGAGAAGAGCUAGUAUGAUGUAUGCAUAUACUAGGCAAUCCUCUGUUCUAAAUGAUGAUGGCCCACUUGUAAGACAAGGAAAUGCAGUGCUUCCAAGCAUCCUUGAGCCCAGAAAGCAAGGAUAUAUCAAUCCUAAUUGCACUUCUCGACCAUCAGCCUACAACCACAUGCAUCAAAAAUACAUGUUAGCAUUUUAAGUAUAUUAUUCAAUUAAGACCAUUUCAAGAAUCACCAAUACAGAUAAGUCUGAAGAAGAAAAGAAAGCCGAUAAAAUAUUCAUUGAUCCUAUACGAUUAUAGUGUUUUAAGUAUUCUCCACAUACAUUAAUAUCUCAGCAUAUCAUAAGAUGUGCUCUAGAAUUUCGAUAUCAUACCACCACUGUAGGUGCCCAGAGGAUCCAAAAAAUUCCAAUGGAGAAGUGAAGGCAAGUUUGUGCCCAUGCCAACAGCCAUAUCCUUUUAUCUGUGGAUUAUAGAAUUAUCAUCAGUAUGUUGCUCUCGAUGAACUUUUCACUACAUUGAUUGAUAAUUGAAAAAUGCCUAUAGUAGAUUCCACCAACUCCUUUCCAUGUGUAUGUCGAAGAAACUAUCAAACCAUGUCAGUCUGAACAUAGAAAAGGAGUUUAGAAUGCAUGCAUUCAUAGAUCAGGCAUAUUACAGCUUGAGAGUGAAACUGAAAAAACAAACUGAAGGCAUGGCAAACUAUAAUUAAUAGAUUACUAGGAUACCAAGUUAUUAAUCAUCAGAAACUUAGAAAUUGUGAAAAAAAUAUCAAUACUAGCUUGAUAUAUGCAAUCAUGAAUUCAGAGAUAUCUUUUCAUUCUGUCAAUGAAGUCAGAUACAAAGUCCAAAUUUGAUUCAAAUGAACCUCUAAUGUGUAUUUCCACUCUUAUUAAAUUGUCAGUAGAUUCUUAUCGCAGUUUAUCUUGCAACUAGUAAGGCGAGAUAUAUUGACAACUGUGGAUUGUUUGAUUGGAAUGAAAUUUGGAAUGGGUAUGCUUGACGAUAUGAAUUAUGUGAAAAAUAAACGGAUUCGUUCACCAGAAGCCACUCUGAGUUUUGUUUAUUUGGUUACAACAAAUUCAACUUUUGAUCAACCCAUAACUUAUGCAAUCAGAGCUGAGCAAAUUCAAUUUACCGGAAUAAUCUGAGCUGAAUACAUUUAUGCAAUCUACUUACUUGCUACCAUAUCUGUAUCUAUUUAAGCCUGUUUUCUUGUUCUCAUUUUUUUAUCUCAGUCUUCAAUUAGGUAACCAUGUUGUCUUUCCCCCUGAAUAUAUAUAUAUAUAUGCUACUAGUAUAUGACGUCUAGUACCAUAUGAUAACUAGUAUAUUUGCUUUUGCUGUGAAACCCUUAGAUGUUCUUUUAACUAAUAGGAUAAAUUUUUUGGCCAGAGUCACUACAAAUCAUGAACUGCUUUAACUAAAUUAAAUUCAUUACACAUGCCUCUUUUGUCCUUUACUCGAGCAGAUCUUCCCAUUUGCAGUACUGGCCUCCUGCUAAUACUCGAUGAAACCUAUCCCUGCAAUAGACUGGUCUUCCGUCGGCAGCCUCAGCGGCAGCUGCCGCUAGAUCGUCAUCAGAUAUCACGUCUGCAGGCAAUUGAAGCAACUCCUCCUUCCUACAAGGCACAUAAAAAAUUGCAAUUACCUGGUUGAAAUGAUUAGGAAGAUGGUGCAAGGAUCUUUAUGUCUUUCCUUACCUUAGGUUGAACUUUGUGUUAAUUUUUGGAGUUUGAGUGGUAGAUUUAUUUUCUUCUGUGGUAAAGGUGGUUCGAAAAAAGUUCUCCACGGGUGUAGCAAAGAUAAAUAGCAUAACUCCAGUAACAAGUAAUGCUCCUGUACCGACAAGAGUUUGCUUCAGAAGUUUAACGACUGGUUUGACCUGGAGACAUAGAAAUCAAGUUUAUCAUUUGCUCUUCUAGCCUGCAUUAAAAAAAAUCAGCAUGAUGAGUUGAUGCAAUGUUGUGUUAUUUCACAAUGCCCGGUACCUUGUAAGAGCCCAGCAAUCUAUCACGAGCUAGGAUCUGCAAAGAAAGCUAAGUUUUCAGUUUAUAGUGCCUGAAAUGAGAGAAAUGAAGCAUGUCACUUGUUCCUUUAGUAGUUACUGUUAGGAAAUUUUAGCUAUAUUUAUUCCAUAUCCUAUGUACAUCUAUCCUACCGAAUCUCACUAAGUGAGAGCCUCAUACAUUGAGCCGCCCUUAUUCCAUAUCCUACGUAUUCACUAAUUUUGAACAGACUGCUUAUUGCUUAAUGAAGUGGUAUCUUCUACAAUUUGAAAAGCAACAGUGGCUAACCUAUUAUUUGUUCACCUUUACCUCUAAAUUAAAUUUACUCCUUUUCUAUUUGUUUACUUUUAGUGAAUGAAAAAGGUGCAUGUAGAAGAGGCUAACCUCAGGUGGCUUGACCCACAUCUGUCCGUCAUACCAGCCACUUUCUUCAUAAGGAAUGACCGCCGAUAGAAGUCUAUCACCAACAUAACUCCACCCCUGCAUUGGAAUUCACUUAUCUUAACUGCACCAUGUAUUUAAGUGUAAAGGUGCAGACACAGCCACUUUAAUCAUCAGGUAUAUUUGGUUUGAAUAGUGAGCUAUGAAUAGAUUACAUUAAGUUGAAAAUUUAUUAUAUUGCACAUUGGCAACAACAUGCAUGGCUACAAAAGGGAGUUCCAACUGAGUUAAACUUGCAAAUCUUGACCUGCAAAUGCAAUUAUACAGUUUUGAACUUUUGAAUUCAUGAUGUCUUCUACUGGGACAAAUGUGUUUCUAAUUUUGUGUCUUACACAAUACUUUCUGGCCCCCAUAAAUGAAAUGAUUGUAGAACACAGAGAGGAUUACAACCCACCAGAUAAAUCCUCAAGACAAACAAAGAGACAAUGAAGAGUGUUCCUGUUCCAGCAGCUAGUGCAAAUCUUAGAGGCUCCUGCAAGGUAGUUAACAUUAACUCAGGAACAAGGAACUUUGAUGUGCCACUUUAUAAAUGUUUUAAUUCGUGUUUGUGUGCAGCUCGCAGAUACUAGUUAGUAUGCAUGCAUCAAAAUAUCUGGUCGAUUAACUGAUUAGAUGUCCCAUAUUCCCCAUAAUUAUAAAGGGCGGCCUAGUGCACAAGGCUCCCACCUAGUGGGGUUUGGGGAGAGUACAUUCGAACUGCUGCUGAAUCCACGGGCAGGGAAGAGACAACCUGGCGAACACGCAGCUUACCCUGUAAGCAAAGAUACUAUUUUCAGGAUUUGGACCCAUGACCUCGUGGUCACUAAGCAACAACCUUAUUGUUGCACCGAGCUCACCCUCUAGAUUCCCCAUGAUUAUAUGCACAUAUUUUUUUUUACUUCUUUCUUACUCUAGAAGGAUUAAAGCUUGCAGCUGCAAUUGGCACUCCAAGAACUAUGAACACCGACAACCAGAGGCCUCCAAGGCGAAGGAAGAAAGACCCAGGACCCAGUUCACCCCAUGAAUACAAUAUUCCAUCCUUCAGAGAUGAGUACUCAUUCACCUGUUACACAGUGAGAGUGUUGGUGCCAGCAUAAAUAUUUAGAGAAAAAGAAUUCAUACACUAAUAUUAACUACAACAUGCAGUAUCUUUUGAUUUCAAAGGUCAAACAAAGAAAACAAUUAUUGCUAUAACUGCAUAAUUGUUCAUACAUACCGGUCUCUGCUCAAAAGGGACUUCGAUUUCCAACCCAGGAUCCCAGCUACGUCCUGAAGACCCACUUGUUUCUCCAUCCAUUUCAUCUUUUAUGGCCUUGGCCUUGAUGGAAAUCCCAUGAGAAAAUCUUGAAGCUCUUCGUUUAUGGAUGAUCAAUGAAUCAUAGCUGCUGAGUGGUCUAGCUUGAUUUGCACUUGGAAUCAGAGAGCAGUAGACAUUUAAUCUCAGCAUUUAGUUGUUUAGUUUAAGCUACAGAAUUGUGUUUUUGUUUUAAAUCCUAGUUCAAUUCUUUGGUUGGAAAAGGAGAUUGGAGAUAUUAAAGCUCACUGAUAAAUAGCAAUGGAUUUUUUUUUUAUUGCAUGAGGGUAAGAUAGUUUGUUUUGUGACUUAGAGGUCAAUAAAUUUAAAUCAUGUAAAUAGACCUUUCACUUACGAAAAUAAUGUUGUAUAUAUCUACUCUUCCCGAUUUGCGUCACAGAAAACCUAUUAUAUUUAGGUGGAGGAGAACUAUCGGUAAUAACAAUUGUGGAUUUUUCCACGUGGGCUUCUGAGUACCGUUCAUGUGAUGCGGUUACGGUCCUUAGGAAUCAGAUUAUCCGAACCAAAUGUAUUUUCUACUUAGAUAUUUUUGUGGUUUGAGAAAGGCGUGGGGAACUGAUGGUUAAGCAACGUGGCUGUUGUUCACUUGCACGCAAAUUUCUACUAUGUUCCUGUUGCCUGCACGCAGUAGCAACGGGCACGAUCAAUUAGCAAAGCAACAAAAUUCCUAUUUUCAACCUCUUUUUGUGUGGCUGAGGAAUCCACUUUCAAAUAUAGCUAGUUCUGUAAUGAAUCUUAAUCUCUCUGUUAUUGCUUUGCUUCACAAGUCACAAUUGGAUUGAUACAUUGUACAGCCCUAUUAGGCUCGUACUUGCUAACCUGGCAAACUGGUCAGUCAUUUAGGAUAUUCAUAGUCAGAGUCUAAAAGGUUAGAAAAAAUAAAUAAAAUGAAAAGCUGUGGUUUUUCAAUUUUCUAAAAAUUAUUGUAAUACUUUAAAAAACACUGAUCUUAGGUUGAUUUUGGUGUAUAUCAUAUUAAUGUAACAUCAAAAGAAACUAAAUGACCACUUUAGUUCUUAUAUUUGUGCUUACUAACUCGGGUUAGUACCUCCAUCUACCUCCGUUUGAGUUAAUUGACAUGGACAUGUGAUCCGUUAAGUGUGUAAAUGACAUUUCCACGUGAAGAGUGAACAGAAUUAAAAAAAAACGGAUCCUUCUCUUUCCACAAAUACAUCUAUCUGGGAUUGGAGUAUUGUUUUAUGAAGUUGCCGUCAGUUUUAAUUAACAAUAAUCAUUUCAUGACAGAAAAGGGGAAACCAUAAUCAUUUCAUGACCCAGGGUCUGUAAUCACGUUUAUGAUCAGUGUUCUUAAGCUUUUAAUAAAAACUCGGUGCAUUUUGAUUUUGUUGAAUUUAUGAACCUCUUAUUUUCGACAUGAAAUUAAAAUCACGAGGAACUAUCAUGUUUCAGGCAUUAAUAUCCUUGGCUAUGAGGUAGGACAGGGACAUGCUUCUCAUUAUGAUAAAUUCAAUUCUGCUGAAUAUUUGCCCACAAAAAAACCAAAGAGUACGUAUGAAGUAAAACUCUUACAUUCUAAUUUCGCAAGUUGUUUUAGAGAUGGAAUUUGUGGUUAGUUUUGAGGAUAGGGUUCAUACUAGCACCCACACUGACAGCGUGUUGCUUGUCAUUUUGCAAGAAGUUUGAUAUCCAUCUAAGGUUGCUUGACUUGAUAAGGUUUGUGUAUAAGACGUGAGAUUUUUUAUGGAGACAUCCCUCUGUCUUUUUCUUCUUCCUCGUAAUAACAUCAUUGUCCCAUGUUGCAGAGAUUGACAAUCCCUUGCAGUACUGUAGAUGCAUAUGAUGCUUGGAUAAAAAUAUGUUUAAAAUACUAUAUCUGUCAAUAUAUUUAUUUAUUCAACUUGAAUUGCUUACACUAAUGUCAAACUCAUAUUUUACACAUCAGUUUUGGUUAAUCAGCCAGAUGACUUCAUUCAUAGUGUAUUUAAGCAAUGUUCCAGAAGGUAGAGAGACCGUGUUUCUAUUUUGAGGUAAAAACUAAAAACCAAGUUUGUCACUGCAUCUUGAUUCUCAUACUUCCCGUUUUCUGGUAAAGGUAGUCAGUGCAUUAUUAAUAUUCUGCAGAAUGGCUAUGAUUUUGAGUACUGUAUUGGUUUAAGGGUAAAGGCCACCCAGGGGGGUGGACUUCUAUUCAUUUGUUGUUCCCUAAUGGUACAAUUUUUCUAACCUGCCAACGCAACAUUCCUAUCCAAACUCAAAAACUUAGAUGGAUGUCAAAUUUUUAAGUGAAUGCCCCAUCCAAACAAUGCUUCCAAUGUUUUCAUAAAACUCUCUUUGGUCAUAGCUAAUUAGCAACUUAACAUUUUACCGUCAGUCACGUGUUACAGUAUACUAGGAAACAAGGUUAGGAAUACCCUAUAAACCCAACUCGUAACACAUCACUAAGCCUAAUAAUCUAAGAUGACUAAAAUGGUCAGAUUUUAUUUUUCACCUUCUGAUAUUUAGGUGCACUUUUGGAGAAAUUGACGCUUGUCACCAAAUAAGAUUGUGGUAGCAGCUUUGGAAGUUUGUGCGGCUGGUUGUACCUCCAUAAGCACCCAAGCAG
RNAcentral lists this long non-coding RNA (8405 nucleotides) under Lupinus angustifolius (narrow-leaved blue lupine). RNAcentral's name for it is "long non-coding RNA (LANG_LNC002509)". Lineage: Eukaryota; Viridiplantae; Streptophyta; Magnoliopsida; Fabales; Fabaceae. The record is from RNAcentral.